GGGGAUGUUUGGAUUCGACAGGGGUGUAGGGUACGAAACUGCAGGUCGGGGCGCCUAGUCCUCGUUAACAAUGGGCAACGCCAUAAACGGCGAGCCAAAUUACGCUCUAGCCGCCUAAUUUAGCGUGGCUACGUUCGCCCGGUCCCUGCUCCGGUGGGAGCGGUGCGAGCGUCGAAAUACCGGAGUGCUGUGCUAGUGCCCGCCGGGGCGCGAACACCUAAGACUGAUCCGGCUGGCCCGGUGAUUCCCCGCUGGUCGGGGCCCACCGGGUAAGACUCUAAAGGCCAGAUAUACCUGUAGUAGGUUUCGACGCGAAACUUCUGGACGGGGGUUCGAAUCCCCCCAUCUCCACCA
This 354-nucleotide transfer-messenger RNA is filed under the name Chloroflexota bacterium. It matches the Rfam family "transfer-messenger RNA". From Rfam's summary of the family: Bacterial tmRNA, also known as 10Sa RNA or SsrA, is named for its dual tRNA and mRNA-like properties. Its role is to liberate the mRNA from a stalled ribosome. Lineage: Bacteria; Bacillati; Chloroflexota. The record is from RNAcentral. RNAcentral also lists the same sequence under 1 other name.